RNAcentral lists this ribosomal RNA (620 nucleotides) under uncultured bacterium. Its description in RNAcentral is "bacterial SSU rRNA". It matches the Rfam family "Bacterial small subunit ribosomal RNA", at positions 243 to 863 of the family's 1533-position model. The record is from RNAcentral.
AGCUGGAUGGUGAGGUAACGGCUCACCAUGGCGAUGAUGUCUAGGGGUUCUGAGAGGAAGGCCCCCCACACUGGGACUGAGACACGGCCCAGACUCCUACGGGAGGCAGCAGUGAGGAAUAUUGGACAAUGGAUGGAAAUCUGAUCCAGCCAUGCCGCGUGCAGGAAGACGGCCCUAUGGGUUGUAAACUGCUUUUCUACGUGAGCAAUAAGGUCUACGAGUAGACUGAUGAGAGUAGCGUAGGAAUAAGCAUCGGCUAACUCCGUGCCAGCAGCCGCGGUAAUACGGAGGAUGCGAGCGUUAUCCGGAUUUAUUGGGUUUAAAGGGUGCGUAGGCGGCUUUUUAAGUCAGCGGUGAAAUUUUGCAGCUUAACUGUAACAGUGCCGUUGAUACUGAGGAGCUAGGAUUUGGUUGCUGUGGGUGGAAUGUGUGGUGUAGCGGUGAAAUGCUUAGAGAUCACACAGAAUAUCGAUUGCGAAGGCAGCUCACAAAGCCAAGAUUGACGCUGAGGCACGAAAGUGUGGGGAUCAAACAGGAUUAGAUACCCUGGUAGUCCACACUGUAAACGAUGAUAACUCGCUGUCGGCGAUACACAGUCGGUGGCCAAGCGAAAGCGAUAA